UGUUUUCCAGUCAAACUACUUUGAUAG
RNAcentral lists this non-coding RNA (27 nucleotides) under Mus musculus (house mouse). The record is from RNAcentral. Lineage: Eukaryota; Metazoa; Chordata; Mammalia; Rodentia; Muridae.